Molecule: ribosomal RNA, 524 nt
Filed under: uncultured bacterium
Lineage: Bacteria
Description: bacterial SSU rRNA
Rfam family: Bacterial small subunit ribosomal RNA
Source: RNAcentral
CCUGACGCAGCGACGCCGCGUGAGGGAUGACGGCCUUCGGGUUGUAAACCUCUUUCGACAGGGACGAAGCGCAAGUGACGGUACCUGGAGAAGAAGCGCCGGCCAACUACGUGCCAGCAGCCGCGGUAAGGCGUAGGGCGCGAGCGUUGUCCGGAUUUAUUGGGCGUAAAGAGCUCGUAGGCGGCUCGUUGCGUCGGCUGUGAAAACCCGCAGCUCAACUGUGGGCUUGCAGCCGAUACGGGCGGGCUAGGAUUCGGUAGGGGAGACUGGAAUUCCUGGUGUAGCGGUGAAAUGCGCAGAUAUCAGGAGGAACACCGGUGGCGAAGGCGGGUCUCUGGGCCGAUAUCGACGCUGAGGAGCGAAAGCGUGGGGAGCGAACAGGAUUAGAUACCCUGGUAGUCCACGCUGUAAACGUUGGGCGCUAGGUGUGGGGGGCCUCUCCGGUUCUCUGUGCCGCAGCUAACGCAUUAAGCGCCCCGCCUGGGGAGUACGGCCGCAAGGCUAAAACUCAAAUGAAUUGACGG